UGGGGAAUAUUGGACAAUGGGCGAAAGCCUGAUCCAGCCAUGCCGCGUGUGUGAAGAAGGCCUUUUGGUUGUAAAGCACUUUAAGCGAGGAGGAGGUUACCUGGAUUAAUACUCCAGGCUAGUGGACGUUACUCGCAGAAUAAGCACCGGCUAACUCGGUGCCAGCAGCCGCGGUAAUACUGAGGGUGCGAGCGUUAAUCGGAUUUACUGGGCGUAAAGCGUGCGUAGGCGGCUUCUUAAGUCGGAUGUGAAAUCCCUGAGCUUAACUUAGGAAUUGCAUUCGAUACUGGGAAGCUAGAGUAUGGGAGAGGAUGGUAGAAUUCCAGGUGUAGCGGUGAAAUGCGUAGAGAUCUGAAGGAAUACAGAUGGCGAAGGCAGCCAUCUGGCCUAAUACUGACGCUGAGGUACGAAAGCAUGGGGAGCAAACAGG
RNAcentral lists this ribosomal RNA (430 nucleotides) under Acidobacteriota bacterium. Its description in RNAcentral is "Acidobacteria bacterium partial 16S ribosomal RNA". It matches the Rfam family "Bacterial small subunit ribosomal RNA", at positions 355 to 776 of the family's 1533-position model. The record is from RNAcentral. Lineage: Bacteria; Pseudomonadati; Acidobacteriota.